CCUACGGGAGGCUGCAGUGGGGAAUAUUGGACAAUGGGGGGAACCCUGAUCCAGCCAUGCCGCGUGUGUGAAGAAGGCCCUCGGGUUGUAAAGCACUUUCAGUGAGGAAGAACGCCUGGUGGUUAAUACCCAUCAGGAAAGACAUCACUCACAGAAGAAGCACCGGCUAACUCCGUGCCAGCAGCCGCGGUAAUACGGAGGGUGCGAGCGUUAAUCGGAAUUACUGGGCGUAAAGCGCGCGUAGGUGGCUUGAUAAGCCGGUUGUGAAAGCCCCGGGCUCAACCUGGGAACGGCAUCCGGAACUGUCAAGCUAGAGUGCAGGAGAGGAAGGUAGAAUUCCCGGUGUAGCGGUGAAAUGCGUAGAGAUCGGGAGGAAUACCAGUGGCGAAGGCGGCCUUCUGGACUGACACUGACACUGAGGUGCGAAAGCGUGGGUAGCAAACAGGAUUAGAUACCCGAGUAGUC
This 465-nucleotide ribosomal RNA is filed under the name Vreelandella stevensii. Its description in RNAcentral is "partial 16S ribosomal RNA". It matches the Rfam family "Bacterial small subunit ribosomal RNA", at positions 338 to 795 of the family's 1533-position model. The record is from RNAcentral. Lineage: Bacteria; Pseudomonadati; Pseudomonadota; Gammaproteobacteria; Oceanospirillales; Halomonadaceae.